Molecule: ribosomal RNA, 305 nt
Filed under: uncultured bacterium
Lineage: Bacteria
Description: bacterial SSU rRNA
Rfam family: Bacterial small subunit ribosomal RNA
Source: RNAcentral
GAAAUCCUACGGGAGGCAGCAGUGAGGAAUAUUGGUCAAUGGGCGAGAGCCUGAACCAGCCAAGUCGCGUGAGGGAGUACUGCCCUAUGGGUUGUAAACCUCUUUUGUCGGGGAGCAAAAAGCGGUACGUGUACCGCAUCGAGAGUACCCGGAGAAAAAGCAUCGGCUAACUCCGUGCCAGCAGCCGCGGUAAUACGGAGGAUGCGAGCGUUAUCCGGAUUUAUUGGGUUUAAAGGGUGCGCAGGCGGCGAGUUAAGUCAGCGGUAAAAUUUCGGGGCUCAACCCCGACGAGCCGUUGAAACUGG